GCGACUGAUCCUCCACGGCCCGGGGACCUGCUCCGCGCGCCCGCGCGGGGGUGGCCCUGACUCAGCGGCCGCCCCGCCCCAUCCGGCGCCCCAGCCUCCAGCGCCUGGCCUGGGCGCACCUGGCCUCCCGGGUUCUGGGUCCCCGCCGGGCCACGCCCGAACCGUCUCGUCUGGGCCGGGGGUGCUCGGGCGCACGGAGGGCCCGGGGCUCCACCUUGGCCGGGUCGAGGCCCAGGGUGGCCGGAACAGGUGAGGACCAGCGCCCGACAGGAGCCCAGGGCCGCGCUAGCUCUCCGGUGGGUGUGGGGGCUGGGCUGGACACACCCACCCCAGCCCCUCUCACUUCAAAGGGAACUUCGUGGGAGGGGGAAGGGGAGGGGUAAAGAGAAAGUGAAACUGGAGGGAGGGAGGUUUCUGCUUCUCAGACCCUGAACCCCCACCCCGCAGCCCACAGGGGUAGCCCCGUACCUGCCUCCUCAUUUCCCACGCGGGGGGAGGGACGCCCUACCCCCUCACGCAGCAAGGGCCUGAGCCUCGCUCCCCCCACUCACAGCCCAGCCCCGAACGUCCUGGCGCAGCUGGCCCUGCCGGUCCUACCCACUUAGUCACCUGGAGGUGUCCAGGCCUGACCAGUGGCGCCUCCCAGGGACUCUGCUUCAGCAGAACAUGGCAGCUGAGGGGAGGGCUCAGGCUCUAGGAAAUACCCUAGAGCCCCCUUCAGCACUUGCCCCAAGUCUGGAGCCAUUAGUGUGUCUGUAUGGGGUUGGGCAGCAGGGUGGUGACCAUUCAUUCCAGUGCAGGGCGGUGACACGCCAUCCCACCACCCGCCCAGCCAGCCAGGAGCCAAGUGCUCAGGAGCCAAGGUGAGCCCCAGACCAGAACACAGCCACCAGAUCUGAGGGACCCCCCAGACAUUUCCACAUGGGCCGCGUGUGGCUCAACCACCGCAGCCACCCUGGAAAGGGAAUCAGAAAGGUUUUGUUAUUUUCAUUUUGCAGUUGGGGAAACUGAGGCUCAGGGAGGGACAGUGACUUCUGGGGAUUGCACAGCUCUUGGUGGUAGAGAAGGGAUGACAGGCCUUGCCAUCGCUGCAUCUGUGGGUCUCAGUGCCUGGGUGUGGAGUCCGAGGGGCUGCGGCAUGGGGGUGGGGAUGGAAGUGGGCAUAGGGGAGCUUGAGAUCAAGAACAGGAGCUUGGGAGCUCCUCCCCCAACACAACUGCAUGGGCAAGAAGAACCCACCUCUCUUCUUUUCUUUUUUUUUUUCUUUUUUUUUGAGACCUAGUCUUGCUGUGUUGCCCAGGCUGGAGUGCAGUGGUGCGAUCUUGGCUCGCUGCAACCUCCAUCUUCCCAGUUCAAGCGAUUCUCCCACCUCAGCCUCCCAAGUAGCUGGGACCACAGACACAAACCACCACACCUGGCUAAUGUUUUUAUUUAUUUUUUAAGAGACAGAGUUUCGCCAUGUUGGCUGUUCUCAAACUCCUAGGCUCAAGCUAUCCACCCGCCUCGGCCUCCCAAAGUGCUGGGAUUGCAGGUGUGAGCCACCAAGCCUGGCCACCACUCCUUAAUUCUAAGUUCUGGUCUAGCCCAGUCCUGGGCAGACUCUUCCCGACGCACAGCCACUUGGAUGGGCUCCCCUCGCCCAGGUGGCUCCCGUGUCCAGCAUCCAAGGGAACUGACGAGAGAGGACGGGGAGAAGGUGACAAGUACAAGCACCUGCAGUUCCCACCAGCAGCAGGAAAUAUUGAGGUGUGACCAGAAGGGGAACUUCCUAGCAUACACGAGAAAUCUGGUUACCUCCAGCUGGGGAAGGGCGGUCCUGGAGGGCCCUCAGCUGAGGAGUCUGAUUUUAGGAUAGAAAAUGCUGGUGAAAAAGACAGUAGUCGUGAUGGAGAGGAGAUGUUCCCCAGAGAUAGCCCUGGGAUCCAGGUGAUUCGAGAUGGGCUAUAGGAACCAAGGCCUCCCCCAGCGUGAAAUUACCAGGUGUGAGCGGCGCCACCCCACUGUGGGGAGGCGGGUCCCACGGGCACUGGGCACCUGGCUGUGCCUCAUUCCUGAGUCUCCCACAGCCUCACACCACAGCAAGAGACAAGGCGGCCCUGAUUCACAGCCCAGCUCUGCCCUGUGCCAACGCAGAGCCCUGGGCGCAGGACGGGGCCACUCUGUGCCUUAGCUUCCUCAGCCAUGAAGUAGGAUAGACGGGGACCCGGUGCCCUCCUACAGGCACAGUGGGGACGAAACACACCAACGCGGCGCAGGACACGAACGCUCCAAGCCUGUCUGUCCCGGCUGUUCCCACUGCACGCCAGAGAGCCAGAGGCCUUGGGGCCAGGUCACUGCCCAGCUCAGAGCCCAGGGAGCCCCGAGCAGUGGCCCUGCACCUCCUGCCACUUCUGGGUGAUUCUAGAGGAGUCCCCUUACCCAGGGCCCCUCUGGCCUCUCCCCAAGGGGCACAAAACGGCCCCCGAGAAAGCUCCCAGACUCAAGCCUAUGACUCUUCACAGCCUCCUGAGACACUGGCCCAGUCCCGGGGCUCCCUGUGGUAGGGCCCUACAUCCCACGAGGGUUUGGAGGGGACUGACAAUGGGGGUCUGGCUGCCCAGCCUUGUGAGGAGCUCUCCCCAUCUGCCCAGCCCGUGGCCCCCAAGCCGUCUCUGCCGAACUCCAUCAGUGACCCAGUUGGAGAAAGGCCAGCUUGACAAAUGCUCUCUGCGGGACAAGCAGGAUGAGUGGGCGUUUCUACACUACAGGACACUCACCCCCGGCAUCAGUCGGUGUGUCUACACUGGCAGGUUGGCACCUGCUCUGGGAGGGUGCUGCCAUGUGGGCUAACGUGAGCCACCUGCAGCUUUCACAACCCGGAGCAGCACUGAGUGGGGUGGCGUGAGCAACAGGCUCUGCCCAGCCCCUCAGGAGCUGAGGGAAGCAGGGUGGCCUGGCUCACGGUGGAGGCUGCAUCAGGAGCUUCAGGCAGAGCAGGGGCUGGAAUGGUCCCCAGGGGCUCACCACCAGAGUGUGAAGCCCCCUUGACACUCACAGGCUUCCGCAGCCCUAUGGAGCCCUGGUGUGGCCCUGGCCUGAGAGGGGGGCCGGGUGCAGCGAUACUGGGGUGACAGAAAACCAGACAGCAACUGGGACGGGACUGUGAGGACUAAAGAGUUAAGCAGGGGCAGCAUGCUCAUCCAGGGGUUGGAGGGCUGCCUGGGGGAGGGGACUUCAAGCUCCAGAAUGAAGGCGCAGGAGGUAAGGAGAUGGGCAGAGGGUGUCUGGAGGAGGGACCAGCCUGGGCAAAGGCAGGGUGGCAGGAAGGGGGAGUGGCAGCUGGGAAAGGACCACUUGGCCAAGUCACGUCCAUGCACCCCACCCUGCCCAGCUCACACGCACAGCUGCCCCCGGAAGGAUGGGCCAAGUGACCCCCGCAGAGACCCCACAGAGCCUGGGCCUGACUCCCCACACACAUCCACAGUCCCGGACCCAGACAGAGCCUCUCAGAGCCAGGCUGUACAG
Molecule: long non-coding RNA, 3504 nt
Filed under: Homo sapiens (human)
Lineage: Eukaryota; Metazoa; Chordata; Mammalia; Primates; Hominidae
Description: HSALNT0216585
Source: RNAcentral